CCGAAUAGACGGGUUUCUUUUGAUUUUGGAGAAAUAAAGGUGUAAUGAUCGAUUACACAUGCUAAUGCAAGUGCACAAGUGAGUUAAUCCGAGCUAUAACUCGAGAUAUAUUAGGAGCUUAGAAGUUAAGUACUAAGAGCCACAGAUAUAAAGUAUCAAUAACCACGUUUUAACUGAAACAACGUAAAAACAACAGGCAGCAGUGAAAAAUUUUAUACAAUUUCUUUAAAGAAGAUAUAGAGAUCAUUUAUUUAUUUGUCUAAUUAAGUGCCAGCAGACGCGGUUAUACUUAAGAAUAAAGUCUUUAUUUAACACUAGGUAAAAAAUGCAACUAGAAAACCAAUAUAACUAUAAUCAAGCUUAAUAAAUUGGUAAAAUAAAUAUUAAUUGGAAAACCAAAAACUAAAGUAUUAUGGUAAUUUAAAUUGAAUUGCUAAAGAUAGGAUCGCUAACAGGAUUAGAGACCCUGGUCGUCCUUUCUGUCAAUAAAGUUAGAACUAUCUGAAUAGUCCAUUCGCAAGAAAUAAAGUCAAAAAAUCUGGCUGUUUACUUUCCAUUUAGAGGAGUUUGUAAUUUAAUACGAUAAUCCACGUAAAAUCUUACUUUUGUUUGAAAAUACAGGUGCUGCAUGGUCGUCUUCAGCUUAUCUUUAAAAGUAUUAGCUAAAACCUCAUUAGGUUAAAGUCAGGUUGUAUGGCCCCUAUACAAAAGGAUAUUAUGCACUACAGUGCUUAAUUUACUUAAAAGUUAAAAUUGAACAUAAAUUGAAAAAUUUAUAGAAAGAGGAUUUAAAAGUAAUCGAAAAGAAUAGUGUUUUGGUGAAUUGGUUCAAGUAUGAGUACAAAUUGCCCGUCACCUUUGUUUGUCUCAGUUGCAAGAAAAAUUUAGAUUUACUUGAACUCUCAAAACAAAGCAAGUCGUAACAUAGUGAGAGAAAGGGAACUUUCUCUUGCAGAGUUUGUUUUAAAACAAUAUCAAUUUUAUAACUCUGCUU
Molecule: ribosomal RNA, 994 nt
Filed under: Cubaia aphrodite
Lineage: Eukaryota; Metazoa; Cnidaria; Hydrozoa; Limnomedusae; Olindiasidae
Description: small subunit ribosomal RNA
Rfam family: Bacterial small subunit ribosomal RNA
Source: RNAcentral